Molecule: long non-coding RNA, 799 nt
Filed under: Homo sapiens (human)
Lineage: Eukaryota; Metazoa; Chordata; Mammalia; Primates; Hominidae
Description: HSALNT0047107
Source: RNAcentral
AACAGACUUCCCUGGUGGUUUGAGGCUGGGGGCUGAGCUUUUCCUUCAACAUGGGAUCUUGAAGAACUUCCCAGCUACCCAAAGCCGCAAUUUCCUCCACCGCACACAGAAGCAGCUGAGUCAGUACUAGCCCAGGCACAAUGAUGAAGGGGUUGUUUGCCUUUGGUUCCAGGCCUGUCUCCCUCUCAAGCCCUGUGGCCCUUCCUGGACUAUCCUGAGCACUUCAUCUGCCUAAACCUGUUUCUUCUUUUCUGCCCAGCAACCCGGGGAUAGAUCCUUUUCCGUUCCACUGAAGCUUGCAGAGAAAAGCGGGCUGUGAGAAGCAAGGCCCCGGAGGGGAGGCAGACAGACCCUGAGCCGUGCAAAUUUGUGCAAAUGCCUGGAUUUGCCCCGAAGGCAGAGAGGGUGGGGAGCUUCAGAGACCAACAGGGGGAAAUUUGUACAUAGAGACAUGCAGAGAGAGGAGCUGAUGUGAAGGCAUGGAGAGAUUUUCAUCUACAAGCCAAGGAAUGCCUGAGCUACCAGAAGCCAAGAGAGAGGCAAGGAACAGAGUCUGCCUCACAGCCCUUAAAAGCAAACAACCCUGCUGACAUCUUACGUUUGAACUUCCAGCUUCCAGAACUGUGAGACAAUAAACUUCUGUUGUUUAAGCAACUCAGUUUGUGGUACCUUGUUAUGGCAGGCCUAGCAAAUUAAUACACCUUCUUACUAAAAACAACCAUAAAACUGCCAAAAUAUAUGAGGAAACUGUCUUUAGGUAUUUGGACAACAUGCGGUACGGGGCUGUGAUUCUUGAGAG